UUCCCAGUAGCUCAGUUGGCAGAGCGACCGGCUGUUAACCGGUGUGUCGUUGGUUCGAGUCCAACCUGGGGAGCCA
This 76-nucleotide transfer RNA is filed under the name Halovulum marinum. RNAcentral describes it as "Rhodobacteraceae bacterium 2CG4 tRNA-Asn". It matches the Rfam family "tRNA". Rfam says of the family: Transfer RNA (tRNA) molecules are approximately 80 nucleotides in length. The record is from RNAcentral. Lineage: Bacteria; Pseudomonadati; Pseudomonadota; Alphaproteobacteria; Rhodobacterales; Paracoccaceae.